RNAcentral lists this ribosomal RNA (253 nucleotides) under uncultured bacterium. RNAcentral's name for it is "partial 16S ribosomal RNA". It matches the Rfam family "Bacterial small subunit ribosomal RNA", at positions 524 to 776 of the family's 1533-position model. The record is from RNAcentral.
UACGUAGGGUGCAAGCGUUGUCCGGAAUUAUUGGGCGUAAAGAGCUCGUAGGCGGUUCGUCGCGUCGGCUGUGAAAACCCGGAGCUCAACUCCGGGCCUGCAGUCGAUACGGGCGGACUUGAGUGUUGCAGGGGAGACUGGAAUUCCUGGUGUAGCGGUGAAAUGCGCAGAUAUCAGGAGGAACACCGGUGGCGAAGGCGGGUCUCUGGGCAACUACUGACGCUGAGGAGCGAAAGCGUGGGGAGUGAACAGG